Molecule: ribosomal RNA, 430 nt
Filed under: uncultured bacterium
Lineage: Bacteria
Description: bacterial SSU rRNA
Rfam family: Bacterial small subunit ribosomal RNA
Source: RNAcentral
GUGAGGAAUUUUCUGCAAUGGGCGAAAGCCUGACAGAGCAAUACCGCGUGAGGGAAUAAGAAGGCCUAUGGGUUGUAAACCUCUUUUCUCAAAGAAGAAGAUCUGACGUUAUUUGAGGAAUAAGCAUCGGCUAACCCUGUGCCAGCAGCCGCGGUAAGACAGGGGAUGCAAGUGUUAUCCGGAAUUAUUGGGCGUAAAGCGUCUGUAGGUUGAAUUCAAAGUCUUUUGUAAAAUCUUUAAGCUUAACUUAAAAACCGCAAAAGAUACUAGUUUUCUUGAGUAUGGUAGAGGUAAAGGGAAUUUCCAGUGGAGCGGUGAAAUGCGUAGAUAUUGGAAGGAACACCAAAAGCGAAGGCACUUUACUGGGCCAUUACUGACACUGAGAGACGAAAGCUAAGGGAGCAAACGGGAUUAGAAACCCGAGUAGUCC